GGUUAAGCGACUAAGCGUACACGGUGGAUGCCCUGGCAGUCAGAGGCGAUGAAGGACGUGCUAAUCUGCGAUAAGCGUCGGUAAGGUGAUAUGAACCGUUAUAACCGGCGAUUUCCGAAUGGGGAAACCCAGUGUGAUUCGUCACACUAUCAUUAACUGAAUCCAUAGGUUAAUGAGGCGAACCGGGGGAACUGAAACAUCUAAGUACCCCGAGGAAAAGAAAUCAACCGAGAUUCCCCCAGUAGCGGCGAGCGAACGGGGAGCAGCCCAGAGCCUGAAUCAGUGUGUGUGUUAGUGGAAGCGUCUGGAAAGGCGCGCGAUACAGGGUGACAGCCCCGUACACAAAAAUGCACAUGCUGUGAGCUCGAUGAGUAGGGCGGGACACGUGGUAUCCUGUCUGAAUAUGGGGGGACCAUCCUCCAAGGCUAAAUACUCCUGACUGACCGAUAGUGAACCAGUACCGUGAGGGAAAGGCGAAAAGAACCCCGGCGAGGGGAGUGAAAAAGAACCUGAAACCGUGUACGUACAAGCAGUGGGAGCCUCUUUUAUGGGGUGACUGCGUACCUUUUGUAUAAUGGGUCAGCGACUUAUAUUCUGUAGCAAGGUUAACCGAAUAGGGGAGCCGAAGGGAAACCGAGUCUUAACUGGGCGUUAAGUUGCAGGGUAUAGACCCGAAACCCGGUGAUCUAGCCAUGGGCAGGUUGAAGGUUGGGUAACACUAACUGGAGGACCGAACC
Molecule: ribosomal RNA, 737 nt
Filed under: Escherichia coli
Lineage: Bacteria; Pseudomonadati; Pseudomonadota; Gammaproteobacteria; Enterobacterales; Enterobacteriaceae
Description: partial 23S ribosomal RNA
Rfam family: Bacterial large subunit ribosomal RNA
Source: RNAcentral